Long non-coding RNA from Aegilops tauschii subsp. strangulata, 885 nucleotides. RefSeq lists it as uncharacterized. The record is from RefSeq and is a predicted model, not a curated record. NCBI's taxonomy places the organism in Eukaryota, Viridiplantae, Streptophyta, Magnoliopsida, Poales, Poaceae.
CAUAUCUUUAUGUACAUGUUUUUAUUUUUCAAAAAUUUGUGACGUUUCUCUCAUCGCUAUUCCAUUGGCAUGAAUGUUGGAGUGUAAUUGGACAGUUUUUAGUGAUGCCAUCAAAAUAGUUAUUCUCGGUCGCUUUAGAAAGAGCGAACUGGACAACCGAAUAUGCGUCUUGUUCGUAUGAAAUCAUCUGUUUGUAAUGUUUGCAUACAUCCUUGAUUCUUCUAAUAUUGUAGAAGAUAAAGGGCAUGUAUAGGUAUGUUGUAUUUAUGAGAAUAAAUAUAUAUUGUCUUUUGCCAGGUCGAAUUUCUCUGAGAUUUCCUAAUGUCGAAUUCGAAGCUAUGAGUUGUGUGAUGCCUCUGUGUUAAAACUCGUGGAGGGUUCGAGUGAGUAAAGAUUUGAUCCGAUAUCAAGCCACGGAUAUGUCAAUUUGUUUAUCAACAGAAUAAUGUGCAGCAACUUUCAGGAUAGGAAAUCUCAUUUUUAGUAUGCCGAUAAUUCUCUCUAUAUGAUUCCGAAGUUGAGCAUGACGAAGGUUGAACAAUUCCUUGUAAUUUUGUGGCCUUUGACGUACUUCUCCUUGUUCUUUUAGAUGAUACCUAGUACCACGGUAUGGAGCAAGAAAUUGGGGUGUGUUUGCAUAACCAGCAUCAACAAGCAAGGGGAAGAUGAAAGCAUAGAGCACAGGCAGCAAGGGGAAGAUGAAAGAAUAGAGCACAGGCAGCAAAUGCUGUGAGCAGGGAAAAGAGCUAUCCAUUGUAGAGAGUAGCAUCAGGUUAUAUAGGCACUUGCUGCUAACGGCUACUUCAGGCAGUUGACUGCACUAGCCGUUGGAAGUUUGAAAAACAUCAGACUUACAAAUAGAAAUAAAAAUACUUUAUUGUAAAA